RNAcentral lists this ribosomal RNA (429 nucleotides) under Triticum aestivum (bread wheat). RNAcentral's name for it is "partial small subunit ribosomal RNA". Lineage: Eukaryota; Viridiplantae; Streptophyta; Magnoliopsida; Poales; Poaceae. The record is from RNAcentral.
AUGAUGUCCUUGAGCUUCUUCCGGAGGCCCGCGGUGACGGAGGUGCGGGUGCGGUCGAGGGUGGUGCCCUCCUGGCAGCCCGCGGAGAGCCUGCGCUGCGCGGCGUUGGCGAGGUCCAUGUCCGCGAGCGCGCGCUGGAUCCCGCGCGCGCGGCCGAGCACGGCGACGAUGUCGGCGUUGACGCGGACGCGCAUGGCGCGCAGCGCGUCGGGCUGGUGCAGCGACUUGCCCUCCUCGUUGGCGGCGUGCAGGCGGGCGAGCGCGUCGCGGAUGGCCGCCAUCUCCUCGCGGACCGCCUCCGCCUCCCUGAAGAAGCCCUUGAGGCGCUCGUCGGUGGCGCCGCCGCCGCCGGCCUGGGUGAGCUCGGUCCCGGUCUCGUCGCCGCCCGCCUCGAGGUCCUUCAUGGCCGCCUUCUUCAGGUCGACGUAG